UACGUAGGUGGCAAGCGUUGUCCGGAUUUACUGGGCGUAAAGGGAGCGUAGGCCGCCUGGUAAGCGUGUUGUGAAAAAUACCGGCUCAACCGGUAUCCUGCAGCGCGAACUGCCUGGCUUGAGUGUGCGCAACGUUGGCGGAAUUCGUCGUGUAGCGGUGAAAUGCUUAGAUAUGACGAAGAACUCCGAUUGCGAAGGCAGCUGACGGGAGCACAACUGACGCUGAAGCUCGAAAGUGCGGGUAUCGAACAGGAUUAGAUACCCUGGUAGUCCGCACGGUAAACGAUGGAUGCCCGCUGUUUGUCCUGAUGGACAAGCGGCCAAGCGAAAGCGUUAAGCAUCCCACCUGGGGAGUACGCCGGCAACGGUGAA
This 372-nucleotide ribosomal RNA is filed under the name uncultured bacterium. Its description in RNAcentral is "bacterial SSU rRNA". It matches the Rfam family "Bacterial small subunit ribosomal RNA", at positions 524 to 898 of the family's 1533-position model. The record is from RNAcentral.